RNAcentral lists this unclassified non-coding RNA (391 nucleotides) under soil metagenome. RNAcentral describes it as "partial contains 5.8S ribosomal RNA, internal transcribed spacer 2, and large subunit ribosomal RNA". The stretch from base 1 to 122 matches the Rfam family "5.8S ribosomal RNA", at positions 35 to 154 of the family's 154-position model. The record is from RNAcentral.
GAUGAAGAACGUAGCGAAAUGCGAUACUUGGUGUGAAUUGCAGAAUCCCGUGAACCAUCGAGUCUUUGAACGCAAGUUGCGCCCGAAGCCAUUAGGCCGAGGGCACGCCUGCCUGGGCGUCACACGUCGUUGCCCCCCCAUCUACUCCUUCGGGAUUGCGGGGGGCGGAUGAUGGCCUCCCGUGCGCCUCGCCGCGCGGUUGGCAUAAAUGCCAAGUCCUCGGCGACGCACGCCACGACAAUCGGUGGUUGCGAAACCUCGGUUGCCCGUCGUGUGCGGUCGUCGGGCAUCGAGGGCUCGAAAAAAUUGCCGGGUUCCGGCUCGGCUUUCAACGCGACCCCAGGUCAGGCGGGGUUACCCGCUGAAUUUAAGCAUAUCAAUAAGCGGAGGA